AGAGGGAUGGAGAUCGUGGGGAGGUAAUUGGGUCGUCGGAUAGGAUGACUUCGAAGGGGGAAGGUAAUUGAGAUUUAGGGUUAUUAGAACACGGGUCGGGUCGUCGGGUAGGAUCAUGUUAGUGGUAGGUGGGCAGGAUAGCAAAUAAAUGAAUAAUUAUAACUUCUUAGGUUUUAUUGUCUUUUUUCUCUAUUUUUGAUUUAUU
This 205-nucleotide long non-coding RNA is filed under the name Brassica napus (rape). RNAcentral's name for it is "long non-coding RNA (BNAP_LNC023829)". The record is from RNAcentral. Lineage: Eukaryota; Viridiplantae; Streptophyta; Magnoliopsida; Brassicales; Brassicaceae.